GGUGACCGUUUGAAUACAAUUCACCCUCACUUUUCUCUCUCUUAUGCACUCUCUCUCUUCCUUCCCUUUCCACCUUGUAAAUCGGCAGAUGGUUCCGUUUGACACACACACAGCGACGUAGUCAUCUCCUUCCGGCGACCGACGCAGCACAUUCAUCUUCGUCCCUCGCUCCUUGUCUCAGCCUCUCUUUUGCUGCUCAACACACACACUCCGGUUUCCUUCCCUCUCUGAGUCGCUGCUGCCCGGCAGAUUCCGGCGUGUCACCGCCGUUUUUCUGACUGCUCUAGGCCAGACUCAUUACUCCUUAAACCCUGCGAGCAACAAAAACAAAAAGGAAUCAAAUUGGUAAAAUUAUGGUGAUCGUUUUCAGUUCCUUCAUCUCACAUUUCAAUUGGCGAUGGUCCACAAACUCCUGAAAACGACAUCAUUCUUUCAUUCUCUCCUUCUUUGGCCAGCUACUAAUGGAACCUUACAGUUAUGGAAAAGAAACUGGAAAUGCUGCACAUCCUACUAAUGCAACUCUGUCUUCCUGGGACUAAUGUCUCUGAGCCAUUUAUGUACGAUACUAUCUCAGAGAAGGAGUUGAGGAGGUGCUAACUUUUAAAGGGGUUAUUAGAGUAGACUUCGUUUUUCUCAAGGGUUGAUCUGCAAACUUAGUUGUUGCUUACUAAUUUCUGGAGUCCUAGGUUUCCCGUGCUUCAAAUAAGUGAUAACAGUGUUCUUUGUUGCCCGAUUUCUUGAGCUAAGGAGCGAGAACUAUUCCGGUUUUGCAAAAUUAAUUGAAAAUGCCAUAGGGCCGAUCGACUGAUUGAGAGCUUUAUGAGUUGCAAUCUUGUUGAUAUUGGUGCAUAAAAAUGAUUUAGGCAAUAGGAAUAAAGGCCAAAUAUCCAAAUUAUCACAUGCCUGACCCUGCAUAAACCCCUAGUGAGCCAGUUUGAGCCACAAAAGCCUAAUUUCUUUGUUGAAAAUUUUGAAGUCCUUAUAUCAGCUUACCUAUUAUAUCCAUUUGUUGGCCUAUAUUUUUUUCCCUAGUCACUAAAAUUAAAGUGCUAGCACAUUCUUGGGAGGGUAUUAUGGUGGCAAGAAAAAGAUGGAGGUUCUGGACCAUUCAUUAGGUGGUAUUCAUACUGAGAUACAAAAAGUAAGUGAAUAGUUGUCCCCUUCAAAUGAAAAUAGAAUAAAAAGGGAGCCUUUCAUGAGUAAAAAAAAGCCAAGGCUAGAAAAAAAAAAUAAAAAAGGCAGCCUUUCAUGUCUAAAAAAAAGCCAAGGCUAGAAAAAUAAAAUAAAAUAAAAAGGCAGCCUUUCUUGAGUAAAAAAAGCCAAGGCUCGAAAAAAAAUAUUGAGCGAAAAAUAGAAAUGAUAAAAGAAUGCUCAAAAGAAUAAGUUGACAGAUGGUUGAAAAAUCUCAUGUUUGGGGUGUUGAGCUGUAAGAAAUUUGUACGCAGUGAGUGAGAUGUGAAAGGUGUUGUGAUGGAUGUGCUAGUAUUUUAAGAACGGUGGUAAGCUACUUAACCAAAUAUUAUCCCACCUUUACCAAAAGCCCCAUUACAUCCCAAUGAAUAAGACCUUUUGAUUUGUGCAUCAUAUUGACUUUUGAGCGAUGAAUUUUGCUUGAUUUUGGGAGAAAGAUCUUAUUUGCUUAAAAUAAAGAAUAGCCGGAAGAACUUCUCUUUAUGAGUUAGUGAUGAUGGUUUGAGACUCCCAAGACACAACUCGAACUUAGAUUGAAGCAUGGGAUGUCUAGUUCUUAGGGAAUUAGUUCGUGUACAAUUCUUGUUCUAAAGUUUUACCCGCGAGUGAAUUCGGGGUCGGCCUAUUUCCCUACUGACUUGAAGCAGAGGAUUAUCUAAUAUCUUUAUACAAUGGAAUGGAGGGUAGCGUAAUACUGCUCCAAGCUAAUUUUGGACACUUUGAUAUUAAGUGUCUCUCAGUUCAUACUAAAGCCAUCAAUGAAGAACUACUGCAAAAUCUUUCUGAUGCUUUGUCUAAAUCGGUCUUGCUUUGUCUAAAUCUGAAGAUCACGAUACCAGGAUGUGUGGAAAGAAUUUUUGUUUGAGUCAGAUUAAAGAGCUGUGUGCCAAUCCUAUUGCAUUUGAGGCGAUUGAGAUAAUUCAACAUAUGCUCGUGUUACUCUUAGUUGGUCUGAAGGCGGAAGGCGCCUCUCUAAGCAUUUAGAUUCAUUCUUGCAAAUGCUAUCUCUUGUGCAACUAAGGUGCUUUCUGUGAUAGUUCCUCGUGCAAAAAUAGACUAGAAUUUCUUAGUCAAUCUGAAAGCCAAGGCCCAACUACAUGGAGAUCACUUCUUCAGGUGGACGAGCAAGAUCUGGGGGCGGCGGCCUGGUGGGGGCAAGUCGUGUGGCGGCAGGGGGAGACUUAGUUCUUAACUUAUAAGAAGCCGGGGGGAAAAGGGAAUAGAUCAAGUUUCUGCGGAUGUUCAGGACCUCUCUCCUAGUCACAUUCAACCUUUGGGUUCACUUUUGAAUAUCUUUUUGGAAGCUUGUCCCUCUAUUUUAAAGGACUAUGCCAUGGAGCCUGAUGAGAAACUUAUACUAAAUGCAGCACAUUUGAUGGUAGCAAGCUUGGCAGGAAGUCUUGCUAAUGUAACAUUUAAGGAACCUGGAAAUGCUGCACAUCCUACUAAUGCAAUUCUGUCUUCCGGGCUUCCUGGGACAAACCUUGAUAUUAGAAUAAGUUGUUUUGAUGAUACAAUCUCAUUUUUAUAUGUUUAAACAUAUGUGUGCUUGCUCUAGAUUAUGAAGCACAAGUCCGAAUAGCAGCUGUCGAAAAGGUUACAAAUUGAUUCUUUUUCUAGUCCUUCACAUUGAGGUGUGGGUGUAUGCCUACAUUCUUCUUUUCUUUGUUUAUAAUUUAUCCUAUUUGUGUUUGCAUGCAAUGUUUUCUCUCUAUUUAUUGUCACCAGACACACUUUUAAUGGGUUAUUAGUGUACUUUUAGUUUCUCUCAAGGGUUGGAGAACUAAGAUUCCCUAAUUUCAAACACCUAACUUUUUAAUAUUUUAAUAAUAUGUGAAAAUGAACAGGACAUGCUGUUGAACAAGACCAUGUACAUAUCUUAUAUUUUCUAUGGUGUCUUGAUAUAUUCUUUGUGGUGAACGUGGAGUCUGUUGAUGUUUUCACCGAUGAAUGGGAUUUACUUAUUAAAGCAAUAAUACUAGCAAAUAACUUAUUAAAAAUUUGGUAAAGACUUGUGUUAAUUUUGUCUAUUGUGUAUGUGUUUAUUUUGUUGAUGUUAGUUUUUUUAUUUUGUCCUUGUUGCAUUUUUUAACAUUGUUCACAUGCAGUCCAAACCAAUGAUUGGGAAAUAGAUCAACAACUUUCUAUUAGGGGAAAACAUAGAGAUAGUGUUGUGCCACUUUUUUUAAUGCUAGCCUUUAUGUGCCAGGUCAAAUGUGACCUUUGUUGAGGUGAUAAUUUACAAUUUUUAGAACAUCUAAGUUGAUUCACGUGGUCAGAUAUAUAUUAUCUAGUUCAUCUUUGUGAUCUUUAUUUGUGUCUCAUUUCAUUUGCAGGAAUCACAAACAGAGUUGACACCGAUGAAUGGAAUCCAUCCACUGACACUCCAAAUUUUAAAUAUUAUUCCAGCAUUUGUGUUUGUCUAUGACAGUUAGAUCAGCUAUCGAGGGACCAAAUUUGCUUUAGAUUGCAAACUUGAGUUUGCUCGUACUGCUCAUCGAAAUUCUGCUACUGUUCAUUCCAGGUUGAGUGUAAGGCUGCGUAGCAAGUAGAACUCAGUCCCAUGUAGAGAGCGCUACUUCAGUGUUGAUAAGCUCUAGAGAUGUCCCCUGAUCUUCAACAGUGAGGUGUUAUAGCUGUAACCACUACUCGUAGGAUUUUUAUGCUAGUACACUUUGAGCACAAACUUUUGCAGGAACUAACCCGGAGUUGUCCUGGUUCUCACUUCCAGUAUAGGGGUGUGAUCUUGGCACCACCCCUUACUUGCUUUCUACUCAAACAAGUAAGUAUUCUAUCCUCUUUACAUUUUCUUGUCCUUCACAUUGAGGGUAAUGUUUGGAAUAGUUUUGAGGUGUGGGUGUUUGCGUGCAUUCUUCUUUUUGUGGUUGUAAUUUAUCCUAUUUGUGUGUAUAUGUAAGGUUUUCUCUCUAUUAAUUGUCACCAGAAACACUUUUUAGUGGUUUAUUAGUGUAGACUUAGUUUCUCUCAAGGGUUGGGGAACUAAGAUUCCCUAAUUUAAAACAACUUAUUAAUAUUUUAAUAUGUGAAAAUGAAUUUGUGCUGCUGAACAAGACAUGCUGCUGAACAAUACCAAGUAUAUAUAUUUUCUAUGGUUGCUGGAAAUUUCCUCUGUGGUGAACAUGGAGUUUGUUGAUGUUUUUUUCCGUUGAAUGGGAUUUACUUUUUAAAGCAAUAAUACUAACAAAUAACUGAUAUAAAAACUUUGGUAAAGGCUUGUGUUAAUUUAGUCCAUUGAAUAUGGGUUUGGAAUUCAUAUUGUUUGUAUUUUGUCCUUGUUACCUUUUUUACCUUGUUUACAUGCAUUCCAAACCAGUGAUUGGGAAAUAGAUCAACAACUUUCUACUAGGAGGAAGCAUAGAAACAGUGUUGUGCCACUUUUUUUUUAUGCUAGCAUUUAUGUGCAAGGUCAAGUGAGCCUUUUGUGCUAAGCUAGGCCACCUGUCAUAUUAACAAAACAAGUUUACGAGGUGAUUCUCUGACAAAUUCUAGGACAUCUAAGUUGAUUCAGGUGGUCAGAUAUAUAUUAUCUAUUUUCAUCUUUGUGAUCUUUAUUUAUGUCUCAUUUCAUUUUUUCAUUUCGUUUGCAUAAGUUUGCUCGUUUUCUAGGCAAGAAUCGAUCCAUCUAGAGCUCAAAUGCAUUACCAGUUUGCCCCUCCGCUUCAUCAGUUGGUGGAUUUUCCUGGAAAUUUGCAUCUCUACUUCUGACGGAAUAGCACUGGAAUUGGUGCUAUUCCCCACACACCCGAAAUUGGCUCUGACGAGAUGGAUCCUGUUGGUUCCCAGAUUCCUACAGGGUUUGUUUAGUUUAUGGUUUCUUUUGAUUUUUAUACUAUUUAUUAAUUAUUAGUUGUUUUUCUAUGACUAAACCCCGCGAGCAACAAAAACAAAAUUGAAUCAAAUUAGUAAAAUUAUGGUGAUCGUUUUUAGUUCCUUCAUCUCACAUUGCAAUUAGCGAUGGUCCACAAACUCUUGAAAAUGACAUAAUUCCUUCAUACCUUCUUGCUUUGCCCAGCUACUGAAGGAACCUUCCAGUUACGCAAAAGAACCUGGAAAUGCUACACAUCCACUAAUGCAGCUCUGUCUUCUGAGUAUCCCGGGACAAAUGUCUCUGAGCCAUUUAUAACCUUUGGGUGAUGCAUUGCAUAUGUACCAUACUAUCUCAGAGAAGGAUAAUAUUUCCGAUGAUGACUAUAUAAUUUCAUAAGCUGGGCUCGGUCUAGAAGUGGGAAUGAUGUCAAUCCUACAUGGAGUUAAGGAGGAGCUAACUUCUAAAGGAGGCAAGAUGAGAGAAGAAAUACCUAACCCCCAUUCACCUAACUUCCCAUGCAAACAGGGGAGUAUUUUGUUUCCCAUCAGGCCAUCACAUAUUUUUUCCUUCACAAUAAAGGGCAAUGUUAAGAUUAAGAUUUGGGGUGAGGGUGUUUGUGUACGUACAUGCUUGAUUAUGUGGUUGUAAAUAAUAUGAUUAAUCUAUCUCCGAUGUGUUGAUUCUGAAGGACCCUUUUUUCAUAAGUGUAUAUAUAACAAUGUGAAUACUGAAGAAGUUAUGUGUUUUUAAAUGUCAGGUCUAUGCCACGGAGCCUGAUGAGAAACUUAUACGAAAUGCAGCACAUUUGAUGGUAGCAAGGUUGGCAGGAAGUCUUGCUAAUGUAACUUGUUAGGCCUGUACAUCACAUUUAGGAACCUUUACGUGGUUCAGUAUCUAGCCAACUCAGAAGGUCACUUCAGGGCUUGGCCAUAGCAAAUGAUCUUCUAGAGCAGUCGUUUUAGCUGGUGACUAAUGGAAUCACAGGCGACGAUGACACCGAUGAAUGGAAUCCAUCCACUGAUACAUAUCUUCCUCGAUUGAUAGCCGCUCUGGAAAUGUUGAGUGCAAGGCUGCGCUGCAAGCAGAACUCCGUCCUUUGUUGAGAGAGCUAUUUCAGUAUUGAUCAUGUUCCAGAGAUGUCCCCUUUUCUUCAACAAUGAGUUGUUAUAGCUCAGAAUCGAUCCACCCAGAGCUCAAAUGCAUUUCCAGUUCACCCCUCGGCUUCAUCAGGAGCUGGAUUAUCCAGGCAAUUUGCAUCUCUACUUCUGACCAAAUGAGUGCUAGCAUUUACUCAUCUGGCCUUGUUAGCACUUGAAUUGCUGCUAUGCUCCAUACACCGAAAAUUGGCUCUGACGAGAUAGAACCUGUUGGAUCCCAGAAUCCUACAAGUUCGCUCAUCUCAUAUUUCAAUUGCUGAUGGUCCACAAACUCUUGUAAACGACAUCAUUCCUUCAUUCCCUCCUGCUUUGGCUAGCUACUGAUGGAACCUUCCAGUUGUGCAAAAGAACCUGGAUAUGCUGCACAUCCUACUAAUGCAAUUCUGUCCUCCGAGCAUCCUGAGACAAACCUUGAUAUUAGAAUGAGUUAUUUUGAUGAUACAAUCUCAUUUUUAUAUGUUUAAAUAUAUGUGUGCCUGCUUUAGAUUAUGAAGCACAAGUCCGAAUAGCAGCUGCCGAACAAGUUACAAAUUCAGUCGGGUUCUUAAUCUUGAAUUUGCUGUCCAACAUAUUAGGAGUUAAGGAGAAUUUUGUUUCCCCUCACAUAUUUUUUCCUUCACAUAAAGGGCAAUGUUAAGAUUAAGAUUUGGGGUCUAUGCCACGGAGCCUGAUGAGAAACUUAUAUGAAAUGCAGCACAUUUGUAGUAGCAAGGUUGACAGGAAAUUAUGCUAAUGUAACUUGUAGGAAUCACAAACGGAGUUGACACUGAUGAAUGGAAUCCAUCCAUCGAUGCACAUCUUCCUCGAUUGAUAACCGCUCUGGAAAUGUUGUGAUACACUCAAAAUUUUAAAUAUUAUUCCCGCAUUCGUGUUUGUCUACGACAUUUAGAUUAUCUAUCCAGGGACCAUAUUUGCUUUGGGUUGCAAACUUGAGUUUGCUUGUACUGCUCAUCUAAUUUAUGUUGCGGUUCAUUCCAUGUUGAGUGUAAGGCUGCGUAGCAAGCAGAACUCGGCCCCGUGUUGUGAGCUCUACUUGUUGAUCAAGUUCUUGAGAUGUCCCCUUUCAACAGAGAGGAGUUAUGGAGGAUAAAGGAGUGUUCUAUCUCGCCUCACAUUUUAUUAUCCAUCACAUAAAGGGAAAUGUUUAGAUUCAUUUUUGGGGUGUACAUGUUUGUAUGUACUAUGUGCACCGUGUAUUUUGUGUAUAGUGUGAGUGUAGUCUAGUGUAGUGUAGUGUGUGCAUUAUGUGUGUUUAGUGUUUAGUGU
Salvia splendens (bonfire salvia) is the source of this 7443-nucleotide long non-coding RNA. RefSeq lists it as uncharacterized. Lineage: Eukaryota; Viridiplantae; Streptophyta; Magnoliopsida; Lamiales; Lamiaceae. The transcript has 23 exons. The record is from RefSeq and is a predicted model, not a curated record.